This is a long non-coding RNA of Dreissena polymorpha, 1166 nucleotides long. RefSeq lists it as uncharacterized. The transcript is spliced from 2 exons. The record is from RefSeq and is a predicted model, not a curated record. NCBI's taxonomy places the organism in Eukaryota, Metazoa, Mollusca, Bivalvia, Myida, Dreissenidae.
ACCCCUCACACCUGAACAUUCACAUGCAGUUAGAAUUUAGAAAGUGCCGACCCCCUCGCAGCGGAACAAUCACAUGCUCUGUUCCUGUUUAAACACUUGCAAGGUCUGCAAUAAGUUGGUAGCGUCCCCCUCUCACCAGAACAUCCACAAACUGUGUGUUUGAUUCAACAGGUCGUUACACUUGCAAGGUCUACAGAAAAAUAUAUGCAUAUUUAAUACUCGUUGUUCUUGCUUCAACAGGUCGUCACAAGUGCAAGGUCUGCAGCAAGAUUGUACCGUCCCCCUCACACCUGAACAUUCACAUGCGGGUCCAUACCGGAGAGAGGCCGUACGAAUGUCACGUGUGUGGCAGCAGAUUCAACCAAAAGAGCAACAUGAUGUCACAUAUAAGAUCGAAGCAUAAGCAGUGACGUAAAACAUAUACCCAGGGGAGCGGACUGUUGAAUGCCCAGUGUGCGGAAAGUUGUUCAAGAACAACUGGUUUCUCAACCGUCACAUACGCGUACAUACAGGGGAAAAACCUUACGAGUGUGUUGUAUGCCACAAACGGUUCAACCAGAAAGGCAGCAUGAAGUCUCACUGCCUCGCUGUUCAUCCUGAGAUCUAUGGUUUGGACCAAACAUAACCUCAAAGUCCUGCUCAGCAUUCGACCUCUCUAUAAUUAACCUGAGCCGAGCCCUCGGAUUAACGGGGUUUAAUGCAUGCGCGCAAAGUGUCGUCCCAGAUUAGCCUGUGCGGUCCACAAAUGCUUAUGAGGGUUUUAAAGGAAUAUCUCUUAAACAAAGAAAAUCCAGUCUGGUCGGAAAGAAUCGUACACGAUACCUCUGCGGUCCGCUAGGGCUUGACAGGUACGACAGUUUUCGCUUUGUGGAAUAUUUUGUUUAAAGGAAUAUAUCUUCUAAAUCAAGUCUGGUCGGAAAAAGUCGUCCCUGUUUAGCCUUUAAGAACUACACUGGCUAAUCUAGGGCGACACUUAACUCACAUGCAUAAAAUCCAGUAUUUUUACAUAAUGAUUCAAGUAUUUACUAAAAUGUAAGAGCUUAAAGAUCAACAGAAAUGGUAAACUUUAAACUUGGAUGGUUGUAAGGCCGCUCGUGUUACAUUGAAUAUGCUUUGCAGGGGCAAAAUAACCGUUUACGCUUUGAAAUAAAAUGUGCGCAAUCAGA